AACGGGAAACCGGAGCUAAUACCGGAUAAUAUAUUGAACCGCAUGGUUCAAUAGUGAAGGACGGUUUUGCUGUCACUUAUAGAUGGAUCCGCGCCGCAUUAGCUAGUUGGUAAGGUAACGGCUUACCAAGGCAACGAUGCGUAGCCGACCUGAGAGGGUGAUCGGCCACACUGGAACUGAGACACGGUCCAG
This 192-nucleotide ribosomal RNA is filed under the name uncultured Staphylococcus sp. RNAcentral describes it as "partial 16S ribosomal RNA". It matches the Rfam family "Bacterial small subunit ribosomal RNA", at positions 148 to 334 of the family's 1533-position model. The record is from RNAcentral. Lineage: Bacteria; Bacillati; Bacillota; Bacilli; Caryophanales; Staphylococcaceae.